UUUCUGUAGUAGUAAUUAUCUUAUUUUUCACGUUGUAAUAUUUAUGAUUCCCAGUAUCAUGAUGUUCCAGAUACAAAACGUGAUUUAGUCCUCUCUUCGUAUGUCUUUCUCAUGGCCAAUAAAUUCCGGAAGACAUGGCCUCAAUUGAUGCACAGCGGUCCCACCAAAUGAUUCCAAUUUCAUAACUUUCACUUCUGGAAUUAUCUAC
RNAcentral lists this unclassified non-coding RNA (208 nucleotides) under Hevea brasiliensis (rubber tree). The record is from RNAcentral. Lineage: Eukaryota; Viridiplantae; Streptophyta; Magnoliopsida; Malpighiales; Euphorbiaceae.